Hyalella azteca is the source of this 752-nucleotide long non-coding RNA. RefSeq lists it as uncharacterized. Lineage: Eukaryota; Metazoa; Arthropoda; Malacostraca; Amphipoda; Hyalellidae. The record is from RefSeq and is a predicted model, not a curated record. The transcript is spliced from 2 exons.
UGGCUCCAGGGCUUAUUUAAGAGUAAAAUUUGUGGCCUACGGCUGCGCCCCCGAUUUAUUCACAACGCUAGAUCUUCGUUGCUCUUCUUGUGCUCAAGAUAUAUACUCGAUGUACCCGUACGAGUCCAAGCUUGCGUAAGAUAAACUUAUCUAAAAUCAAACUGGAUUUUUGGUUCUAUGCCACGAAUUUCAACAACAAUUGAAACUUCUAUUUUAAAUCUAGUAUUUACUAUGAUAAGCUGUGCUAUAGAUGUGUAGCUAUUCGAAUGAUUGUUGUAAGCUAUAUGGGAUUUCUAGCGAGCGGUGACACAGCAGGUCUCUGAUCGUUGUUUUGUUAAUUUCAUCAGAGAAAUAGAUCGUUGUGUAAGAGAAUAAAUAAUACUUAACCAGCACGUACUAACAAAAGAAAACUGAAAUCUUCUACCCAUCGCAAUCUGGAGUCACAACUAUUUUCUUAUUACAAUUAGUAUGUUAAUAUCAAUGAAUCACUUGGCCUUACAGAAGUAGAUAUUAACUGGCCCCAUCUCUGAACUGAUGCGAGCACCUCUGUUGAUGAAAGUCUCGGGCUAUUGUUCAUCUGUUUGUUUUCUUCAAUUUGAUCUUGAUUGCCUUAAAAACGCAGGUUUGUAGAAUCUGUCCAUAGAUUUUGCAGACAUUUUCAACGCUUACAUUUAUAUACCUUUCUGUAUAAUCACUGCACUACUCAAUAUCUCGAUGGAAUAUUUUACUAUCCAUUACAGUUGAUGACAAUU